This 1002-nucleotide ribosomal RNA is filed under the name Bacillus pumilus. RNAcentral's name for it is "bacterial SSU rRNA". It matches the Rfam family "Bacterial small subunit ribosomal RNA", at positions 52 to 1041 of the family's 1533-position model. Lineage: Bacteria; Bacillati; Bacillota; Bacilli; Caryophanales; Bacillaceae. The record is from RNAcentral.
UACCUGCAAGUCGAGCGGACAGAAGGGAGCUGCUUCCGGAUGUAGCGGCGGACGGGUGAGUAACACGUGGGUAACUGCCUGUAAGACUGGGAUAACUCCGGGAAACCGGAGCUAAUACCGGAUAGUUCCCUGAACCGCAUGGUUCAAGGAUGAAAGACGGUUUCGGCUGUCACUUACAGAUGGACCGCGGCGCAUAGCUAGUUGGUGAGGUAACGGCUCACCAAGGCGACGAUGCGUAGCCGACCUGAGAGGGUGAUCGGCCACACUGGGACUGAGACACGGCCCAGACUCCUACGGGAGGCAGCAGUAGGGAAUCUUCCGCAAUGGACGAAAGUCUGACGGAGCAACGCCGCGUGAGUGAUGAAGGUUUUCGGAUCGUAAAGCUCUGUUGUUAGGGAAGAACAAGUGCAAGAGUAACUGCUUGCACCUUGACGGUACCUAACCAGAAAGCCACGGCUAACUACGUGCCAGCAGCCGCGGUAAUACGUAGGUGGCAAGCGUUGUCCGGAAUUAUUGGGCGUAAAGGGCUCGCAGGCGGUUUCUUAAGUCUGAUGUGAAAGCCCCCGGCUCAACCGGGGAGGGUCAUUGGAAACUGGGAAACUUGAGUGCAGAAGAGGAGAGUGGAAUUCCACGUGUAGCGGUGAAAUGCGUAGAGAUGUGGAGGAACACCAGUGGCGAAGGCGACUCUCUGGUCUGUAACUGACGCUGAGGAGCGAAAGCGUGGGGAGCGAACAGGAUUAGAUACCCUGGUAGUCCACGCCGUAAACGAUGAGUGCUAAGUGUUAGGGGGUUUCCGCCCCUUAGUGCUGCAGCUAACGCAUUAAGCACUCCGCCUGGGGAGUACGGUCGCAAGACUGAAACUCAAAGGAAUUGACGGGGGCCCGCACAAGCGGUGGAGCAUGUGGUUUAAUUCGAAGCAACGCGAAGAACCUUACCAGGUCUUGACAUCCUCUGACAACCCUAGAGAUAGGGCUUUCCCUUCGGGGACAGAGUGACAGGUGG